This 549-nucleotide ribosomal RNA is filed under the name Triticum aestivum (bread wheat). RNAcentral's name for it is "partial small subunit ribosomal RNA". Lineage: Eukaryota; Viridiplantae; Streptophyta; Magnoliopsida; Poales; Poaceae. The record is from RNAcentral.
AUGUGGAGUAUGACGGACAACCUAAGGCCCACUCGUUUGGAGGCAACUGACGUGGCAAACGCGGUGCUGGGCGGUAGUGAUGCCAUUCUCCUUGGUGCUGAGACUCUCCGUGGGUUGUAUACAGUUGAGACUAUUUCAACAGUAUGCAGAAUUGGUGCUGAGGCUGAGAAGGUCUUCAACCAGGAUUUGUACUUCAAGCGAACCAUGAAAUACGUGGGAGAACCCAUGACCCACUUGGAGUCUAUUGCUUCCUCUUCAGUGCGGGCUGCUAUCAAAGUUAAGGCUUCGGUCAUCAUUUGCUCACCUCAUCUGGACAGGAGAAAAAGAGUCCACCAUGCCGUUCCUCGUCUAAAAACAAAUCAAUUGAAGUGGAGCUUCACGAGCGCAUUUGAAGCAAGACAAUCACUCAUAGUUAGAGGCCUCUUUCCCAUGCUUGCUGAUCCACGUCACCUGGCUGAAUCUACUAGCACUAGAAAUGAAUCAGUGUUGAAGGUUACUCUUGACCACUGCAAAGCAUCCGGUGUGAUCAAGUCGCAUGGCUUACCUUAG